RNAcentral lists this long non-coding RNA (1527 nucleotides) under Helianthus annuus (common sunflower). Lineage: Eukaryota; Viridiplantae; Streptophyta; Magnoliopsida; Asterales; Asteraceae. The record is from RNAcentral.
AUGAAGUAUCGAGUGACCCAAUUUACAUGUCGUGACAGUUUCUUCUCCAAGAUUCUUCUGUAUGGACUUAAUAAGCACGUAUUCUUCAUUGUAGGUACUCAACAUUGUUAACUACACCAGCUCUUUGGCAUGAAGGAAGACUUAAGGUAUAUUCCUUUCAUCAUCUUGACUCGACCCAUUUACCUAUAAGUCGAUUGAUUUGGGCGGCUAAGCAAUCCAUGGAUAAGCAAUUUUGCAGAACAAAUCAUUAAUCCAAACCAUCCAGUUUUGUUCAGAUGUAAGAUCAAAUACUCAUCCAUUAAUGUCAUUGUUCAACUCAGACAGAGUCAAGUUUUGUAAAGAAAGGUGCCCCGGUAAAGGUAAGUUUUUUUUCUCUAAGUUACGCCAUUCAAACCUAAGUUUUUUUUUCUUAUUUUCCUCUGGUAUGACUGUAAAGUAAGCAUUUUUGUUCUCAAUGUUUGAAUAAAUAGACGGUUAUUUAUUAAAAAUAGUUAUUUCUAUCUAAACAGAUUACGUGGUUCAUGUUCAGGUUACAUGGGUUAAGCGUGUCUAGGUUACUAACUGAGUUUUAGAUAAUUUUCUCUUUGUCAUUUGCUACUUGAUUAAUAUGAGCACACUACUGCUGUUAAAAGUGAACUUACCUAAAAAAUUAUAUAAAACCAGAGCGUUUCAGGUAUUGAUUUCUUUGUAAACCUUAAUAGCGUCUAAACAUGUUGCAAUCACUUUCUGAGGCAACAUCAUCAUCCAUGCAUAGCUCAUUAUUAUCCAAAUCGACCUAUAAAAGUCUGUCUAUUUAAACUUGAUUAAUAUAUGUUAUCAUAAUGCGUCAAGCCGAGUUGUACCUGAUGAUACAAAAUAUUGGCCCAUCAUCCAACCUAUCAAUUUUCCGCCUCUGUGAUAUUGAUUGCUUUUUUGUGUGUUGAUAUGUAACAUGUGGGUGAAGCGGAAUGCCUAGAUAACUUUAAAGGUGACUGGGAGUUUACUUGUGCAUCUAAAAUGGUAAUGAAGCAAAGAGCAUGUAAAAGUGGGAAGAGGAUAAACGGUGGCUACCGACUCUAAAGGUUCCCCAGAUGGUCUAUUAGACGGCACAAGGAGAUGGUUGCUAUUUAAAAAAGGAUUGUUUUACCAACUGGUCAAAGCAGUCCUAGCCAUCAACGCCCAAAUUCUUAUAAAGAUGCAUGUCCUUUCCAAAGGAGAAGCAGGGUUUAAUGAAGAAUUGCCAUUUAAGGGGAAAGAUUUCAUCACUGAAAACGUUUGUUUUGAAAAUUCGGCUCUAGAGAUGUUCUUUUCUUUUUUUAGUUACCUUAAUCUCUACAAAACUUAUUGUUGAGCUACCAAUGUAUAUAACUCUCUUCAUAUACUUGACUUCUUUUUCUCUAGGGUCAGGAUGGAGUAUUUCCAUGCUAGCUGGUGCGGGGACUGUAUGCUAACAAGGUACUACGUGAAUGCCACUGUAUUUUGAGUUGGAAGACUGUGAAUGAAAAAUGAGGAGCUGAGUGAGAAUGGAGAAGAAAUUAUUGAAGAGGG